Molecule: long non-coding RNA, 402 nt
Filed under: Anser brachyrhynchus (Pink-footed goose)
Lineage: Eukaryota; Metazoa; Chordata; Aves; Anseriformes; Anatidae
Description: lncRNA (ENSABRG00000010634.1)
Source: RNAcentral
GUCGUAAUUGUAUGUCCUUAACAACCACCUACAAAAGAGCAAAUAUGCUGCUGAAAUAACUUUUUCUGACAAUGAAAUAUCUGAAAAUCAUAACCAAUCAAUGCACAGCAUUAACUUCACUGAUUUAGAGUGGUGCUUUUUCGUUUAGAUUCUACAAAGAAAUGUAUAUAACAACAAUUAUCUCCCUUUUAUAAGCAAAGAGAAAACAAAUAGUAAAGCAAAAAGAAGCACCUUGGAGUUGAAACAUUCCAGAUGGAUUUGGAACAGUUCUGUGUGGAUUUUCUGCCAGAAUUUCAGAUUUCACUCCAAAUUGAGAUCUUCAGCACAGGGAAGAUUAGAACCAGUAAAGGAGUAAUUAAGGCCUCUCAUACAUACCCAAAGGUAGCAGCCACAAGAGAUUAA